UUCCUACGGGGGGCAGCAGUGAGGAAUAUUGGUCAAUGGACGAGAGUCUGAACCAGCCAAGUAGCGUGAAGGAUGACUGCCCUAUGGGUUGUAAACUUCUUUUAUAUGGGAAUAAAAUGUUCCACGUGUGGGAUUUUGUACGUACCAUAUGAAUAAGGAUCGGCUAACUCCGUGCCAGCAGCCGCGGUAAUACGGAGGAUCCGAGCGUUAUCCGGAUUUAUUGGGUUUAAAGGGUGCGUAGGCGGGCAUUUAAGCCGGCGGUCAAAUGUCGGGGCUCAACCCCGGCCUGCUGUCGGAACUGGGUG
RNAcentral lists this ribosomal RNA (305 nucleotides) under uncultured bacterium. RNAcentral describes it as "bacterial SSU rRNA". It matches the Rfam family "Bacterial small subunit ribosomal RNA", at positions 336 to 639 of the family's 1533-position model. The record is from RNAcentral.